This 524-nucleotide ribosomal RNA is filed under the name uncultured bacterium. RNAcentral describes it as "bacterial SSU rRNA". It matches the Rfam family "Bacterial small subunit ribosomal RNA", at positions 8 to 502 of the family's 1533-position model. The record is from RNAcentral.
AGAGUUUGAUCCUGGCUCAGAAUGAACGCUGGCGGCGUGCCUAACACAUGCAAGUCGAACGGUAACAGGGAGAGGUUUUUAAUCUUUCCGCUGACGAGUGGCAGACGGGUGAGUAACGCGUGGGCAACCUACCUUUGAGAGGGGGAUAACAUCGCGAAAGCGGUGCUAAUACCGCAUGAGGCCUUGUGAUCAUAAGAUGGCGAGGUGAAAGCCGGGGAUCUUCGGACCUGGCGCUUGGAGAGGGGCUCGCGUCGGAUUAGCUAGUUGGUGGGGUGAAGGCCUACCAAGGCGACGAUCCGUAGCCGGCCUGAGAGGGUGAUCGGCCACACUGGAACUGAGACACGGUCCAGACUCCUACGGGAGGCAGCAGUGGGGAAUUUUGCGCAAUGGGGGAAACCCUGACGCAGCAACGCCGCGUGGGUGAGGAAGCAUCUUGGUGUGUAAAGCCCUGUACGAUGGGGACUAAGGUGUGUUGAUUAAGAGUUGACAUACUUGAAUGUACCCGUAGAGAAGCCCCGCUAACU